UUAGGAAACUAGGGGGUGCUUCCAUCUGGAAGAAUCUGGAGACAGGUGCUGCAUGGCUGUCGUCAGCUCGUGUCGUGAGAUGUUGGGUUAAGUCCCGCAACGAGCGCAACCCUUGCCUUUAGUUGCCAGCAGUUCGGCUGGGCACUCUAAAGGGACUGCCGGUGUUAAACCGGAGGAAGGUGGGGAUGACGUCAAGUCCUCAUGACCUUUAUGACCAGGGCUACACACGUACUACAAUGGCCGAUACAAAGGGCAGCGACACUGCGAGGUGAAGCCAAUCCCGUAAAAUCGGUCUCAGUCCGGAUUGGAGUCUGCAACUCGACUCCAUGAAGUUGGAAUCGCUAGUAAUCGUGGAUCAGCAUGCCACGGUGAAUACGUUCCCGGGCCUU
This 389-nucleotide ribosomal RNA is filed under the name uncultured Desulfobulbus sp. RNAcentral describes it as "bacterial SSU rRNA". It matches the Rfam family "Bacterial small subunit ribosomal RNA", at positions 999 to 1382 of the family's 1533-position model. Lineage: Bacteria; Pseudomonadati; Thermodesulfobacteriota; Desulfobulbia; Desulfobulbales; Desulfobulbaceae. The record is from RNAcentral.